AGAACGAACGCUGGCGGCGUGCCUAACACAUGCAAGUCGAACGGGAUUAAGGGGCUUGCCUCUUAAUUUAGUGGCGCACGGGUGAGUAACGCGUGGAUAACCUGCCCUGGUAUCCGGGAUAACACCUCGAAAGGGGUGCUAAUACGGGAUAAGCCCACGGGGUCUUCGGACCUUGCGGGAAAAGGUGGCCUCUGAAUAUGCUGCCGUAUCAGGAUGGGUCCGCGUACCAUUAGCUAGUUGGUAGUGUAAUGGACCACCAAGGCUACGAUGGUUAGCUGGUCUGAGAGGAUGAUCAGCCACACUGGAACUGAGACACGGUCCAGACUCCUACGGGAGGCAGCAGUGGGGAAUUUUGCGCAAUGGGGGUAACCCUGACGCAGCAACGCCGCGUGAGUGAUGAAGGCCUUCGGGUCGUAAAGCUCUGUCAGAGGGAAAGAAGUGUAGCAUGGUUAAUACCCAUACUACUUGACGGUACCCUCAAAGGAAGCACCGGCUAACUCCGUGCCAGCAGCCGCGGUAAUAC
Molecule: ribosomal RNA, 523 nt
Filed under: uncultured Geobacter sp.
Lineage: Bacteria; Pseudomonadati; Thermodesulfobacteriota; Desulfuromonadia; Geobacterales; Geobacteraceae
Description: bacterial SSU rRNA
Rfam family: Bacterial small subunit ribosomal RNA
Source: RNAcentral